UAGAGUUUGAUCAUGGCUCAGGAUGAACGCUGGCGGCGUGCCUAAUACAUGCAAGUCGUACGAAGGAGCUUGCUCCUUAGUGGCGAACGGGUGAGUAAUACAUAAAUAAUCUGCCUCAAUGUCUGGGAUAACUAUUGGAAACGAUAGCUAAUACCGGAUAGCUUGUUAGAAGACAUCUUCUUUCAACUAAAGGAGCGUUCGCUCCGCUUUGAGAUGAGUUUAUGGCGCAUUAGUUAGUUGGCGGGGUAAUGGCCCACCAAGACGAUGAUGCGUAGCCGAUCUGAGAGGAUGACCGGCCACACUGGGACUGAGACACGGCCCAGACUCCUACGGGAGGCAGCAGUAGGGAAUUUUCGGCAAUGGGCGAAAGCCUGACCGAGCAACGCCGCGUGAGUGAUGAAGGCCUUCGGGUUGUAAAGCUCUGUUGUUAGGGAAGAAUGAUCAGGAUAGGAAAUGAUCUUGAAGUGACGGUACCUAACCAGAAAGCCACGGCUAACUACGUACCAGCAGCCGCGGUAAUACGUAGGUGGCAAGCGUUAUCCGGAAUUAUUGGGCGUAAAGGGUGCGUAGGCGGUUUCUUAAGUCUUAUGUGAAAUCUCAGAGCUUAACUCUGGGCUGCAUAAGAAACUAUUAGACUAGAGUGCAGGAGAGGGCAACGGAAUUCCAUGUGUAGCGGUAAAAUGCGUAGAUAUAUGGAGGAACACCGGUGGCGAAGGCGGUUGCCUGGCCUGUUACUGACGCUGAAGCACGAAAGCGUGGGGAGCAAAUAGGAUUAGAUACCCUAGUAGUCCACGCUGUAAACGAUGAAUACUAAGUGUUGGGAUAAAACUCAGUGCUGC
RNAcentral lists this ribosomal RNA (839 nucleotides) under uncultured bacterium. Its description in RNAcentral is "SSU rRNA". It matches the Rfam family "Bacterial small subunit ribosomal RNA", at positions 1 to 849 of the family's 1533-position model. The record is from RNAcentral.